This 1332-nucleotide ribosomal RNA is filed under the name Triticum aestivum (bread wheat). RNAcentral describes it as "partial small subunit ribosomal RNA". The record is from RNAcentral. Lineage: Eukaryota; Viridiplantae; Streptophyta; Magnoliopsida; Poales; Poaceae.
AUGGAGCAUCUUCCAUCUGCGAAGCCCCAAGCUCCACAUAGUCCGGAUCCGCAUCGUAGUUUGUCUCCUCCUCUUCAUCUUCCUGUUCAUCAAUCCGUGCUCGGCUCGAAGAAGCACCUGCUCGGCUGGAAGAUGGACGAGCGAAAGAAGCACGUGCUUGGCUCGAAGAUGGACGAGCAGAAGAAAACACUUCCAUUCUAUACUGAGCACGUGCACGCACAUCCGUGGAUGAACCGCCAUGGCAAGAGAGUAAAGCGGCUAGUGUUCGGCAACGAUUCACAACCUUCUGCAGAGGCAAAGACAUUGACAUGCGCCUCUGGCUACAACAGCGACGAGGAUGCUGCUGGCACCGGCACACCGGACGUCGUGAGCGAGCUGCCGUUGCCGGCGACUCCAACGAGGCUGGAGCGCUCGUGCUCCAACAUCGAGACGGCGAGGCCUGGCUGGAAGGCGUUCGACCUGUUGAGUUGUCAUGUUACGUUUGUACCCAUAUCUCGACCCGGCGCCGCUCCCCACCAAGUAGAAGCACCCAGAGGCCAUCCGCCCCGACCGCCAACAUAUGCCACGACCCGACGUCGCCCAAUCGGAGUGCCGUCGCACCAGCUCGCCAUAGCACCAAGCGCAUCCCCUACCGCAGAUUUCGGGGCUAGCCGCCACCCCUGCCAAUCGCGUAUGGGCAGGUGCGGGCUGACGCCCCCCUCCCGGCCUCGACCUUCCCCGUGCCCUUGCUUCCAGUCCCCAAAUCCAGGAGAGACAGCGGGGGCACGGCCCAAGAUCGGCGACAGGGCACGAGCGGACGUUGGAGAGACGAGAUCGACAGGUUACCACCAGAAGCUGCCCACGCCAGGAAGAAACUGCAAGAAGUGCACUUGCUGCUGUUGCGUUGGACUAGCUGGUGUUGCAUUGGAAGGAAGACGAAUUACCCGGCAAGAACAGCUUCAACAUCUCACAUCAUCAAGUAGCAACCCACCCCGUGUUGGACGUGGCCCAGAAACCAGCCCACACUUCCUCCCAUCCCCGACCGAACACAGAGAGGAAAAAACUGUCGCUAACACGCACUCACGUCUCCGCCUCCCCCCAACUCCCAACUCCCAACUCGCUCCCGACCCCGACCCCAUCUCUCUCCAGGAAAAGUCGCCGCCAGUGGCGGCUGUGUUCGUCGCCCCGCCACCGAUCCAUCCGCUGCCGCGCGCCUUCUGGAUCAAGGUGAGGGAUGCCUCCCGUCCCGUGCGCCCGCCUUGGAAGAGAGAUGGGGGAGAGAAAGGGAGAGAUAAGAGAGAGGGAGGAGCGGACAGCGGCGGCGCUGGCCUAAUCGCCGACAUAGGAAGAUGA